GGCAAAGCAUGGGAGGAUGGGAAACCAGGACUGCCUGGAAAACCUGGCGAGGAUGGCGUGCCAGGAGAGGAUGGUCGAAAGGGAGAUAAAGGAGAGCCUGGGCCCACUGGAAGAGAUGGUCGAGAUGGGUUGAAAGGUGAUCAGGGCAUUGCAGGACUUAUUGGCCCUCAAGGUCCCAUUGGACCCCCUGGAGUUCCUGGAAAUGUCGGACCACCAGGACCUGUGGUGUAUGUUAAAGGGGAGCCAGCAACACCUAUUCCAGGCCCCCAGG
Molecule: long non-coding RNA, 271 nt
Organism: Sinocyclocheilus rhinocerous
Lineage: Eukaryota; Metazoa; Chordata; Actinopteri; Cypriniformes; Cyprinidae
Exons: 5
Source: RefSeq, a predicted model, not a curated record